GCAUUUUAUGGAAAUAGCACAGCUAUGACUUGCCAUCAGUUCAGCCAGCAGUCAAGCAAAGAAUGGAGCUCAGUUUUGCAAAGUCUGUCCAGGAAUAUAUCUACUAGAUUGCUUUACCCCUGAAUGAGAAGUUUGCCUUCAUUUUCUUACUAAGAUUUGGUCUGGAACCAACUAGCAACUGCAGCAGUUUCUGCUAUGGCUUCACAACCCAGUGUUAUGAAAAACAUGCUGAACAAAACAGAGAAGUGAAGAGAUGUACUAUUCCCGGUCUGAAAGUUAAAUAAAUUUUACUGACAAAUUCCCAAUCAGGAAUAGACCAGUGUCUGCUGACUCUAACGUCCAUUCUCUUAGUGUUGAAACGUAUGGAAACACACUGCAGUUGUGUACUGAAGGUAUAUGACGGCAGGGAAUUAGCAGUUUCAAUGAAGAGCACUGCAACAUCAGACACUCAUGAGAAAGUCAUUACAGUGCUUAAAUGGGGGCCAGGAGGACUGUUUUUCUAAAGACACAGAUGGAUGCUGAACAUAGACUUCAGAAGAUGAGCCUAUGAGGAGCUACCUGAAAAUCCUGCCUUUGUGCCAUUAAUACUAGUGGGUGUUAAGUGGUCGUACAGCAAGGAGGAGCUAUCUUCGCCUCUCCUGGCACCAGUAAAGCCUCAGCAGCAGCUCUCAUCUGUCUUAGUGACCAACACAAAACCUGUGGAUUGGGCCCUGGAAUUAAAAGUGCUUUAUAUUUUUGAAAUCGCUAGUUAAUAAAUAAGGGGCCAGCAGAUUCUACAAAAACCA
Molecule: long non-coding RNA, 785 nt
Organism: Cygnus olor (mute swan)
Lineage: Eukaryota; Metazoa; Chordata; Aves; Anseriformes; Anatidae
Exons: 3
Source: RefSeq, a predicted model, not a curated record